RNAcentral lists this ribosomal RNA (253 nucleotides) under uncultured bacterium. RNAcentral describes it as "partial 16S ribosomal RNA". It matches the Rfam family "Bacterial small subunit ribosomal RNA", at positions 524 to 776 of the family's 1533-position model. The record is from RNAcentral.
UACGUAGGGUGCGAGCGUUAAUCGGAAUUACUGGGCGUAAAGCGUGCGCAGGCGGUUUUGUAAGCCAGAUGUGAAAUCCCCGGGCUUAACCUGGGAAUGGCAUUUGGGACUGCAAGGCUGGAGUGCGGCAGAGGAGACUGGAAUUCCUGGUGUAGCAGUGAAAUGCGUAGAUAUCAGGAGGAACACCAGAGGCGAAGGCGGAUUGCUGGGCCAACACUGACGCUGAGACGCGAAAGCUAGGGUAGCAAACGGG